GCCGGUCCUCGGUAGUGGCCCCCGGGCAAUCGGCCCGGAGGCUUCGAUCGAAGACCGGC
Molecule: non-coding RNA, 59 nt
Filed under: Streptomyces acidiscabies
Lineage: Bacteria; Bacillati; Actinomycetota; Actinomycetes; Kitasatosporales; Streptomycetaceae
Rfam family: Actino-pnp RNA
Source: RNAcentral